CAAAGGCCCCAAAGGAAGCCACGGCUAACUCUGUGCCAGCAGCCGCGGUAAUACAGAGGUGGCAAGCGUUGUUCGGUAUUAUUGGGCGUAAAGAGCACGUAGGCGGUUCUGUAAGUCAGAUGUGAAAGCCUUCUGUUCAAAGGAAGAACGGCAUCUGAAACUACAGAUCUUGAGUGUAGGAGGGGAGAGUGGAACUUCUGGUGGAGCGGUGAAAUGCGUAGAUAUCAGAAGGAACGUCGGCGGCGAAAGCGACUCUCUGGCCUAUUACUGACACUGAGUGUGCGAAAGUUAGGGGAGCAAACGGGAUUAGAUACCCCGGUAGUCCUAACUGUAAA
This 335-nucleotide ribosomal RNA is filed under the name uncultured Planctomycetales bacterium. Its description in RNAcentral is "bacterial SSU rRNA". It matches the Rfam family "Bacterial small subunit ribosomal RNA", at positions 473 to 806 of the family's 1533-position model. Lineage: Bacteria; Pseudomonadati; Planctomycetota; Planctomycetia; Planctomycetales. The record is from RNAcentral.